This 330-nucleotide ribosomal RNA is filed under the name uncultured bacterium. Its description in RNAcentral is "bacterial SSU rRNA". It matches the Rfam family "Bacterial small subunit ribosomal RNA", at positions 568 to 898 of the family's 1533-position model. The record is from RNAcentral.
CGCGUAGGUGGUAGUGCAAGUCUGAGGUGGAAUCCCAGGGCUUAACCCUGGAACUGCCUUGGAAACUGCAUUACUUGAGUCAGUGAGGGGAGGGUAGAAUUCCUGGUGUAGCGGUGAAAUGCGUAGAUAUCAGGAGGAAGGCCGGUGGCGAAGGCGGCCCUCUGGCGCUGAACUGACACUGAGGCGCGAAAGCGUGGGUAGCAAACAGGAUUAGAUACCCUGGUAGUCCACGCCCUAAACGGUGGGCACUAGGUGUAGGGCUCGUAAGGGUUCUGUGCCGAAGCGAAAGCAUUAAGUGCCCCGCCUGGGGAGUACGGCCGCAAGGUUGAA